GUAGGUCCCGAGCGUUGUCCGGAUUUAUUGGGCGUAAAGCGAGCGCAGGCGGUUAGAUAAGUCUGAAGUUAAAGGCUGUGGCUUAACCAUAGUAUGCUUUGGAAACUGUUUAACUUGAGUGCAGAAGGGGAGAGUGGAAUUCCAUGUGUAGCGGUGAAAUGCGUAGAUAUAUGGAGGAACACCGGUGGCGAAAGCGGCUCUCUGGUCUGUAACUGACGCUGAGGCUCGAAAGCGUGGGGAGCAAACAGGAUUAGAUACCCUGGUAGUCCACGCCGUAAACGAUGAGUGCUAGGUGUCAGGCCCUUUCCGGGGCUUAGUGCCGCAGCUAACGCAUUAAGCACUCCGCCUGGGGAGUACGACCGCAAGGUUG
RNAcentral lists this ribosomal RNA (370 nucleotides) under uncultured bacterium. RNAcentral describes it as "bacterial SSU rRNA". It matches the Rfam family "Bacterial small subunit ribosomal RNA", at positions 527 to 896 of the family's 1533-position model. The record is from RNAcentral.